This 273-nucleotide ribosomal RNA is filed under the name uncultured Thermodesulfovibrio sp. RNAcentral describes it as "partial 16S ribosomal RNA". It matches the Rfam family "Bacterial small subunit ribosomal RNA", at positions 355 to 644 of the family's 1533-position model. The record is from RNAcentral. Lineage: Bacteria; Pseudomonadati; Nitrospirota; Thermodesulfovibrionia; Thermodesulfovibrionales; Thermodesulfovibrionaceae.
UGGGGAAUAUUGGGCAAUGGGCGAAAGCCUGACCCAGCGACGCCGCGUGGGGGAAGAAGGCCUUCGGGUUGUAAACCCCUUUUGCAGGGGACGACACAGGACGGUACCCUGCGAAUAAGCCACGGCUAACUCUGUGCCAGCAGCCGCGGUAAGACAGAGGUGGCAAGCGUUGCUCGGAUUCACUGGGCUUAAAGGGCGCGUAGGUGGUUUUGUAAGUCUAAGGUGGAAUUCCACAGCUUAACUGUGGGACUGCCUUUGAUACUGCAAGGCUUG